UGCAGUCGAGCGGAAACGAUCCUAGCUUGCUAGGAGGCGUCGAGCGGCGGACGGGUGAGUAAUGCAUAGGAAUCUGCCCGGUAGUGGGGGAUAACCUGGGGAAACCCAGGCUAAUACCGCAUACGCCCUACGGGGGAAAGCAGGGGAUCUUCGGACCUUGCGCUAUCGGAUGAGCCUAUGUCGGAUUAGCUAGUUGGUGAGGUAACGGCUCACCAAGGCUGCGAUCCGUAGCUGGUCUGAGAGGAUGAUCAGCCACAUCGGGACUGAGACACGGCCCGAACUCCUACGGGAGGCAGCAGUGGGGAAUAUUGGACAAUGGGCGAAAGCCUGAUCCAGCCAUGCCGCGUGUGUGAAGAAGGCCUUCGGGUUGUAAAGCACUUUCAGUGAGGAAGAAAGCCUUGAGGUUAAUACCCUCGAGGGAGGACAUCACUCACAGAAGAAGCACCGGCUAACUCCGUGCCAGCAGCCGCGGUAAUACGGAGGGUGCGAGCGUUAAUCGGAAUUACUGGGCGUAAAGCGCGCGUAGGCGGCUUGAUAAGCCGGUUGUGAAAGCCCCGGGCUCAACCUGGGAACGGCAUCCGGAACUGUCAGGCUAGAGUGCAGGAGAGGAAGGUAGAAUUCCCGGUGUAGCGGUGAAAUGCGUAGAGAUCGGGAGGAAUACCAGUGGCGAAGGCGGCCUUCUGGACUGACACUGACGCUGAGGUGCGAAAGCGUGGGUAGCAAACAGGAUUAGAUACCCUGGUAGUCCACGCCGUAAACGAUGUCGACUAGCCGUUGGGCUCCUUGAGAGCUUUGUGGCGCAGUUAACGCGAUAAGUCGACCGCCUGGGGAGUACGGCCGCAAGGUUAAAACUCAAAUGAAUUGACGGGGGCCCGCACAAGCGGUGGAGCAUGUGGUUUAAUUCGAUGCAACGCGAAGAACCUUACCUACCCUUGACAUCGAGAGAACUUUCCAGAGAUGGAUUGGUGCCUUCGGGAGCUCUCAGACAGGUGCUGCAUGGCUGUCGUC
Molecule: ribosomal RNA, 1008 nt
Filed under: Halomonas cupida
Lineage: Bacteria; Pseudomonadati; Pseudomonadota; Gammaproteobacteria; Oceanospirillales; Halomonadaceae
Description: bacterial SSU rRNA
Rfam family: Bacterial small subunit ribosomal RNA
Source: RNAcentral